CCCUUAGAGUUUGAUCCUGGCUCAGGAUGCUUUCUGACAGAAUGCUUAACACAUGCAAGUCGAUUCGAUUUACCUUCGGGUAUUGAGGAUGGCGGACGGGUGAGUAACGCGUAAGGAACUUGCCUCUUGGACUGGGACAACUGUUGGAAACGACAGCUAAUACCGGAUAUUAUGAGAUUCUCGCAUGAGAAACUUAUGAAAGCUAUAUGCGCCAAGAGAGAGCCUUGCGUUCCAUUAGCUAGUUGGUGGGGUAAUGGCCCACCAAGGCGACGAUGGAUAGCCGGCCUGAGAGGGUGAACGGCCACAAGGGGACUGAGACACGGCCCUUACUCCUACGGGAGGCAGCAGUGGGGAAUAUUGGACAAUGGGCCACAAGCCUGAUCCAGCAAUUCUGUGUGCACGAUGAAGGUCCUCGGAUUGUAAAGUGCUUUCAGUUGGGAAGAAGAAAGUGACGGUACCAACAGAAGAAGCGACGGCUAAAUACGUGCCAGCAGCCGCGGUAAUACGUAUGUCGCAAGCGUUAUCCGGAUUUAUUGGGCGUAAAGCGCGUCUAGGCGGAAAAAUAAGUCUGAUGUUAAAAUGCGGGGCUCAACUCCGUAUUGCGUUGGAAACUGUUUUUCUAGAGUACUGGAGAGGUGGGCGGAACUACAAGUGUAGAGGUGAAAUUCGUAGAUAUUUGUAGGAAUGCCGAUGGAGAAGUCAGCUCACUGGACAGAUACUGACGCUGAAGCGCGAAAGCGUGGGGAGCAAACAGGAUUAGAUACCCUGGUAGUCCACGCCGUAAAC
This 786-nucleotide ribosomal RNA is filed under the name uncultured bacterium. RNAcentral describes it as "bacterial SSU rRNA". It matches the Rfam family "Bacterial small subunit ribosomal RNA", at positions 1 to 807 of the family's 1533-position model. The record is from RNAcentral.